GACGAACGCUGGCGGCGUGCUUAACACAUGCCAGUCGAACGGUGAAGCGCCUUCCUUUUUGGUGGGUGUGGAUGAGUGGCGAACGGGUGAGUAACACGUGAGUAACCUGCCCCCUUCUUCUGGAUAACCGCAUGAAAGUGUGGCUAAUACGGGAUAUUCUGGGUCUGUCGCAUGAUGGGUCUGGGAAAGAUAUUGUUUCGGUGGGGGAUGGGCUCGCGGCCUAUCAGCUUGUUGGUGGGGUGAUGGCCUACCAAGGCGGUGACGGGUAGCCGGCCUGAGAGGGUGGACGGUCACACUGGGACUGAGACACGGCCCAGACUCCUACGGGAGGCAGCAGUGGGGAAUAUUGCACAAUGGGCGCAAGCCUGAUGCAGCGACGCCGCGCGAGGGAUGGAGGCCUUCGGGUUGUGAACCUCUUUCGCCAGUGAAGCAGGCCUGCCUCGUUUGUGGGUGGGUUGACGGUAGCUGGAUAAGAAGCGCCGGCUAACUACGUG
RNAcentral lists this ribosomal RNA (494 nucleotides) under uncultured bacterium. Its description in RNAcentral is "partial 16S ribosomal RNA". It matches the Rfam family "Bacterial small subunit ribosomal RNA", at positions 28 to 507 of the family's 1533-position model. The record is from RNAcentral.